GAUGAACGCUGGCGGCGUGCCUAAUACAUGCAAGUCGAGCGAACAGACGAGGAGCUUGCUCCUCUGAUGUUAGCGGCGGACGGGUGAGUAACACGUGGAUAACCUACCUAUAAGACUGGGAUAACUUCGGGAAUCCGGAGCUAAUACCGGAUAACAUGUUGAACCGCAUGGUUCAACAGUGAAAGACGGUCUUGCUGUCACUUAUAGAUGGAUCCGCGCCGCAUUAGCUAGUUGGUAAGGUAACGGCUUACCAAGGCAACGAUGCGUAGCCGACCUGAGAGGGUGAUCGGCCACACUGGAACUGAGACACGGUCCAGACUCCUACGGGAGGCAGCAGUAGGGAAUCUUCCGCAAUGGGCGAAAGCCUGACGGAGCAACGCCGCGUGAGUGAAGAAGGUCUUCGGAUCGUAAAACUCUGUUAUUAGGGAAGAACAAAUGUGUAAGUAACUAUGCACGUCUUGACGGUACCUAAUCAGAAAGCCACGGCUAACUACGUG
This 497-nucleotide ribosomal RNA is filed under the name uncultured bacterium. RNAcentral's name for it is "partial 16S ribosomal RNA". It matches the Rfam family "Bacterial small subunit ribosomal RNA", at positions 28 to 507 of the family's 1533-position model. The record is from RNAcentral.